Molecule: non-coding RNA, 1534 nt
Organism: Chrysemys picta bellii (western painted turtle)
Lineage: Eukaryota; Metazoa; Chordata; Testudines; Emydidae
Source: RefSeq, a predicted model, not a curated record
UUCCGCGCCUCUCCCCACUCUCUCCAGGCAGCAGCCUCCUGGGGAUCUUAAUUCAUCCUCCACUUGCCCAUCUGCGCUCGUGCUGCUGCUGCCUCCUCCUCUCCCAUCCUUCAGGGUCCUCCUCCAGGGCUGAGGCGGCGGCUGCUGCUCCGCCAGGCACGCGGCCACACACCAGCCCCCAGCUGCCCCGGCUGGGUUUGUCUGCGCCUCCCUCUCUGCUCCUCUUCUACCUGUCAGCUGCAGCCGCCGGUGACACCUGCGGGAGACGCGCUUUCGCAGCCCUUGCGACUCGUGUGGCCCGGGCGCAGGGGGGUGAUGAGCGCAUGAAGGAGACCCUGGGGGGCUUUCCCCAGCUCGGGACUCGGCGGCUGCUGGAGCAGAGGAUGCUGAGCUCAGGAGAGCACCGGCUGCCGGUUCCCCGUAGUCACGGUACGGCAGUGGCUUGGCACUUUCCACCCUACGAGCUUCCUUCUCCCGUGCGCUCGGCUCUCCAGCUGGCCCAGGUGCCCCCGCUCCGGAGAAGCCGCCGAUUGGGCUGGAUGAGGCGCACGAGAGACACAAUUUACAGAUCGUAGUGCCUGGAAUACGAAAUGCGGAGCAGAGAGAGAGAGACACACACACCGAGAGAGAUGGGACUGGGCAGCGGAGGUGCUGGAAGCUUGCUCGGGUGCCAUUCAUCCUAUUUAUUCCUCCAUCUCCCUCCCUGGAAGUAGCAAGGCCAGUGCAAUUAACCAGACGCAGCAAGACGAAGAGGGAGAGCAGGGGCGUUAAUCCUGCUGGGAGGUGCGGGGGGGCAGAAGCGAGGAUUUCUGCCCAGUUUAAUUCAAUCAGAAUCUUAAUGCGAAACUGCGAGGUGUUUUGUUGGGGGGGGGAGAGGUUAUAUGUGAGGAGGAGGGGCAGAGAAAGGAGAGAAACAGAUCUUCCAAACGCCGGUGGCUGGUUGAGUUGCAGCAGCAGGUGCCAGGAGAUGCGGGGAGGAGUUGCUGUUUCCAAAGCUCGCUGGAAAAAAAAAGUGAACUGAACAUGGGGAAACCGGGGGAGGGGUCUUUCCCAUGCGUUACAAACACUGUAAAUGGCUGAAUGGCCCAGGUGCCUCCAUGAAAUGUAAUCUAAUAGAAAAGAAACAACAAAAAUCUCCUCUGAUCCUGGCGCUUUUCGUCUGCCCAUUACAAAGAAGCUGAAGAUAAUUUUUUAAAAAUGGUUUUUAAUCCCCCUUCGACACAUGCUCCGCUAACCCUGUUGUCUGCAUAACUUGCUAGGCAGAUCCUGCCGUCCUCUCUCCAAAGCUAAACUACCAAAGCCUGUGCAUGCAUGACAUUUCCCCAGCAGAUCUGUUUAUUGGUCGUACAUAGAGCCACCAUUAUAAAAUAAUCAUUACUUAACCUCUGGCCGUAAUGGUGUCUAUUUCUGCAUCUGUCAUGGACACUUUUUUAAAAAUCGAAGUAACCACAUUUGAAGACUGCAUUAAGCUUUUCUAGAGGGUAGCUUUUGAAAAAUACACUAACCUGACCUACUAAUACAUAGUGCAAUUUGA